GUGGGGAAUUUUGGACAAUGGGCGCAAGCCUGAUCCAGCAAUGCCGCGUGAGUGAAGAAGGCCUUCGGGUUGUAAAGCUCUUUUGUCAGGGAAGAAACGGUGAAGGCUAAUAUCCUUUGCUAAUGACGGUACCUGAAGAAUAAGCACCGGCUAACUACGUGCCAGCAGCCGCGGUAAUACGUAGGGUGCAAGCGUUAAUCGGAAUUACUGGGCGUAAAGCGUGCGCAGGCGGUUUUGUAAGUUUGUCGUGAAAUCCCCGGGCUCAACCUGGGAAUGGCGAUGAAGACUGCAAGGCUAGAGUUUGGCAGAGGGGGGUAGAAUUCCACGUGUAGCAGUGAAAUGCGUAGAUAUGUGGAGGAACACCGAUGGCGAAGGCAGCCCCCUGGGUCAAAACUGACGCUCAUGCACGAAAGCGUGGGGAGCAAACAGGAUUAGAUACCCGAGUAGUCC
Molecule: ribosomal RNA, 450 nt
Filed under: uncultured bacterium
Lineage: Bacteria
Description: bacterial SSU rRNA
Rfam family: Bacterial small subunit ribosomal RNA
Source: RNAcentral